GAUGAACGCUGGCGGCGUGCCUAAUACAUGCAAGUCGAGCGAACAGACGAGGAGCUUGCUCCUCUGACGUUAGCGGCGGACGGGUGAGUAACACGUGGAUAACCUACCUAUAAGACUGGGAUAACUUCGGGAAACCGGAGCUAAUACCGGAUAAUAUAUUGAACCGCAUGGUUCAAUAGUGAAAGACGGUUUUGCUGUCACUUAUAGAUGGAUCCGCGCUGCAUUAGCUAGUUGGUAAGGUAACGGCUUACCAAGGCAACGAUGCGUAGCCGACCUGAGAGGGUGGUCGGCCACCCUGGAACUGAGACACGGUCCAGACUCCUACGGGAGGCAGCAGUAGGGAAUCUUCCGCAAUGGGCGAAAGCCUGACGGAGCAACGCCGCGUGAGUGAUGAAGGUCUUCGGAUCGUAAAACUCUGUUAUUAGGGAAGAACAAAUGUGUACGUAACUAUGCACGUCUUGACGGUACCUAAUCAGAAAGCCACGGCUAACUACGUG
This 497-nucleotide ribosomal RNA is filed under the name uncultured bacterium. RNAcentral's name for it is "partial 16S ribosomal RNA". It matches the Rfam family "Bacterial small subunit ribosomal RNA", at positions 28 to 507 of the family's 1533-position model. The record is from RNAcentral.